RNAcentral lists this transfer RNA (38 nucleotides) under Polypedates leucomystax (Java whipping frog). RNAcentral's name for it is "partial tRNA-Gln". Lineage: Eukaryota; Metazoa; Chordata; Amphibia; Anura; Rhacophoridae. The record is from RNAcentral.
UNAAAGAGAUAGGAGUUGAACCUACGUCUAAGGGAUCA